CGGUAGUGCGAGUAAAGUGGCGAACGGGUGAGUAACGCGAGGGUGAUCUACCCUUCGGUGGGGGAUAACCCGGGGAAACUCGGGCUAAUACCGCAUGAGCCUAAUUUUGUAAGUGAGAUCAGGGAAAGUUUUCGAAUGCCGAAGGAGGAGCCCGCGUCCGAUUAGCUAGUUGGUGAGGUAAGAGCUCACCAAGGCGACGAUCGGUAGCCGGUCUGAGAGGACGGACGGUCACACCGGGACUGAGACACGGCCCAG
This 255-nucleotide ribosomal RNA is filed under the name uncultured bacterium. RNAcentral's name for it is "partial 16S ribosomal RNA". It matches the Rfam family "Bacterial small subunit ribosomal RNA", at positions 78 to 334 of the family's 1533-position model. The record is from RNAcentral.